This 495-nucleotide ribosomal RNA is filed under the name uncultured bacterium. RNAcentral describes it as "partial 16S ribosomal RNA". It matches the Rfam family "Bacterial small subunit ribosomal RNA", at positions 28 to 507 of the family's 1533-position model. The record is from RNAcentral.
GACGAACGCUGGCGGCGUGCCUAAUACAUGCAAGUAGAACGCUGAAGGAGGAGCUUGCUUCUCCGGAUGAGUUGCGAACGGGUGAGUAACGCGUAGGUAACCUGCCUGGUAGCGGGGGAUAACUCUUGGAAACGAUAGCUAAUACCGCAUAAGAGUAGAUGUCGCAUGACAUUUGCUUAAAAGAUGCAACUUCACCACUACCAGAUGGUCCUGCGUUGUAUUAGCUAGUUGGUGAGGUAACGGCGCACCAAGGCAACGAAACAUAGUCGACCUGCGAGGGGGGUUGGCCCACCUGGGACUGGGACACGGCCCAGGCUCCUUCGGGAGGCAGCCAGAGGGAAACCUCGGGCAUGGGCGGAAGUCUGGACGAGCAACGCCGCGUGAGUGAAGAAGGUUUUCGGGUCGUAAAGAUCUGUUGUAAGGGAAGAAAGAGUGUGGGAGUGGAAAGUUCACACUGUGACGGUAUCUUAUCAGAAAGCGACGGCUAACUACGUG